Molecule: long non-coding RNA, 466 nt
Organism: Astyanax mexicanus (Mexican tetra)
Lineage: Eukaryota; Metazoa; Chordata; Actinopteri; Characiformes; Acestrorhamphidae
Exons: 2
Source: RefSeq, a predicted model, not a curated record
UGGACCUUUUCAGUGACCUAAGGGAGAGGCAUCUCUUCAAUGGCAGCUAUGAAGACACGUGUUUACUACGAUACAGCUUCUUAGAAGUCCUGCAAAAAGAACUUGAUGACUACAAACAGUUGUGGAACACUCACACCAUUCGACCAGUUCGCCAGUCCUAUUGCCCCUCUGGCAAACCAGACGCCAUGUACUACCUGCCUGAGAGGUUCAGUGGAAGAAAUUGUGGAUUUGCGGUCUCCCAAUUGCCCUUGAAUCAGUUCGACACCAUGGUGCCAGAUCAUUUCAGUCUUUGUGGCGAUGACAACCAUCAAAACCAUUUUGAGGAAUUACAGAGACAAAGUGGACUAACUGCACCAACUGACUGGGCCGAGGCUGUGGAACAUUAUAUUACACUGAAAUGUUUGACUGGAGUUUAAGGUACAGAGUCAGAGUCAAAAGUGUCAAAAUAAAAGUUUAUUUAUUUGUA